This 491-nucleotide ribosomal RNA is filed under the name uncultured bacterium. RNAcentral describes it as "partial 16S ribosomal RNA". It matches the Rfam family "Bacterial small subunit ribosomal RNA", at positions 29 to 506 of the family's 1533-position model. The record is from RNAcentral.
AGUGAACGCUGGCGGUAGGCCUAACACAUGCAAGUCGAACGGCAGCACAGUAAGAGCUUGCUCUUACGGGUGGCGAGUGGCGGACGGGUGAGGAAUACAUCGGAAUCUACUUUUUCGUGGGGGAUAACGUAGGGAAACUUACGCUAAUACCGCAUACGACCUACGGGUGAAAGCAGGGGAUCUUCGGACCUUGCGCGAUUGAAUGAGCCGAUGUCGGAUUAGCUAGUUGGCGGGGUAAAGGCCCACCAAGGCGACGAUCCGUAGCUGGUCUGAGAGGAUGAUCAGCCAAACUGGAAUUGAGACAGGGUCCAGACUCCUACGGGAGGCAGCGGUGGGGAAUAUUGGAAAAGGGGCGAAAGCCUGAUCCAGCCAUACCGCGUGGGUGAAGAAGGCCUUGGGGUUGUAAAGCCCUUUUGUUGGGAAAAAAAAGCAGCAGGUUAAAACCCCGCUGUUCUGACGGUACCCAAAGAAGAAGCACCGGCUAACUUCGU